UCCUACGGGAGGCAGCAGUGGGGGAUAUUGCACAAUGGGGGGAACCCUGAUGCAGCGACGCCGCGUGAGCGAAGAAGUACCUCGGUAUGUGAAGCUCUAUCAGCAGGGAAGAAAAUGACGGUACCUGACUAAGAAGCCCCGGCUAAAUACGUGCCAGCAGCCGCGGUAAUACGUAGGGGGCAAGCGUUAUCCGGAUUUACUGGGUGUAAAGGGGGCGCAGACGGCAAUGCAAGCCAGGAGUGAAAGCCCGGGGCCCAACCCCGGGACUGCUCUUGGAACUGC
Molecule: ribosomal RNA, 282 nt
Filed under: uncultured bacterium
Lineage: Bacteria
Description: partial 16S ribosomal RNA
Rfam family: Bacterial small subunit ribosomal RNA
Source: RNAcentral